This is a non-coding RNA of Desulfobacterales bacterium S7086C20, 74 nucleotides long. Lineage: Bacteria; Pseudomonadati; Thermodesulfobacteriota; Desulfobacteria; Desulfobacterales. The record is from Rfam.
GCGCCUGUAGCUCAGUUGGAUAGAGCAACGGACUUCUAAUCCGUAGGUCGGGGGUUCGAAUCCCUCCAGGCGUG